GUCUACAGCCAUGCUACCCUGAACAAGCUCGAUCCUGUCUGAUCUCGGAAGCCAAGCAGGGUAGGGCCUGGUUAGUACUUGGAUGGGAGACCACCUAGGAAGACCAGGUGCUGUAGGUG
RNAcentral lists this ribosomal RNA (119 nucleotides) under Pteropus alecto (black flying fox). Lineage: Eukaryota; Metazoa; Chordata; Mammalia; Chiroptera; Pteropodidae. The record is from RNAcentral.